RNAcentral lists this ribosomal RNA (683 nucleotides) under Variovorax sp. M47C6B2. RNAcentral's name for it is "bacterial SSU rRNA". It matches the Rfam family "Bacterial small subunit ribosomal RNA", at positions 56 to 735 of the family's 1533-position model. The record is from RNAcentral. Lineage: Bacteria; Pseudomonadati; Pseudomonadota; Betaproteobacteria; Burkholderiales; Comamonadaceae.
UGCAGUCGAACGGCAGCGCGGGAGCAAUCCUGGCGGCGAGUGGCGAACGGGUGAGUAAUACAUCGGAACGUGCCCAAUCGUGGGGGAUAACGCAGCGAAAGCUGUGCUAAUACCGCAUACGAUCUACGGAUGAAAGCAGGGGACCGCAAGGCCUUGCGCGAAUGGAGCGGCCGAUGGCAGAUUAGGUAGUUGGUGGGGUAAAGGCUCACCAAGCCAACGAUCUGUAGCUGGUCUGAGAGGACGACCAGCCACACUGGGACUGAGACACGGCCCAGACUCCUACGGGAGGCAGCAGUGGGGAAUUUUGGACAAUGGGCGCAAGCCUGAUCCAGCCAUGCCGCGUGCAGGAUGAAGGCCUUCGGGUUGUAAACUGCUUUUGUACGGAACGAAAAGGUUCUUUCUAAUAAAGAGAGCUCAUGACGGUACCGUAAGAAUAAGCACCGGCUAACUACGUGCCAGCAGCCGCGGUAAUACGUAGGGUGCAAGCGUUAAUCGGAAUUACUGGGCGUAAAGCGUGCGCAGGCGGUGAUGUAAGACAGUUGUGAAAUCCCCGGGCUCAACCUGGGAACUGCAUCUGUGACUGCAUCGCUGGAGUGCGGCAGAGGGGGAUGGAAUUCCGCGUGUAGCAGUGAAAUGCGUAGAUAUGCGGAGGAACACCGAUGGCGAAGGCAAUCCCCUGGGCC